UUGCAAAAAAAAAAAAAGAAAGAACAAACCUCGCUCGUCACAUUCCUGCAAUCCCGCAGACUCACACCCCUCACGCCGCCGCCAUCACCUCCAUUCCCAUCCCGCCCAACGCGGUAGCAAGACCUCUGCUCCCUCACGCGUCGAUCCCGAUCCCUUCUUGGUCGGUCGCGCUUGUGAUCCCCUGACGCCCAUCGCCGCAGCAUGCGCUCGGGAUCCCCUCCCGCUCUCGCCGGUGGCCGCGCGUGCCUGCUGUUCGCGCUCGACGGUGGCAUGGCUCCUCGAUGGGAUCUCGACGUGGGGGCAAGAAUAUCAGUUGAGGUGCCACCGCAAGGCUGGUCGGAGCGCUCGGUCCCCUCCCGGGCAGCAGUAGCGCACGCAGUCAUGCACCCCCUCCAUCUGGCCAGUGGCGUUCAAAUCCAUGGAGAUGGUGCCCUGACCUGCUGGGGAGGGGCGGCUCCGACGUGUUGCUGCAAAUUGCGGAUCAGGCAUCCGACACGUCCUCACGGCGGCGGCGCGGCACUCGUUCUGCGGCCAGGGCGCGGCCUAGGCGCUAGCUAGACGAUAAGCCUGCCCACCUCGCGCGCGCCGUGGCACUGGCCGUACAGGGAUUGGCGCCAUGGGCAUCGUCGUCAGAGCGUGUGCGACUCCAGCUCCCGCCGCGGCAGCUCCCUCCGGCUCCAGGGAGGCUGCCUAGGCCCAGCGGAGGAGCAAGACCUCGAGGACCGCCCGCGUGCUCGUGCUAGGCGGCACCGGACGCGUCGGGGGAUCCACAACCACCGCACUCUCCCAGCUCCGCCCCGACCUCGGCAUCCUCGUCGGAGGCACGAACCGGCGAGUCUGUUGCAUCUAAGCUUGGGAGCCAGUCUGAGUUCGUCCAGGUCGACACCCGCGACGCAGGCAUGCUGGAGGAAGCGCUGCAGGGUGUGGAUUUGGUUGUCCAUACUGCUGACCCUUUCCAGAGGGCGGAGGAGUACACCGUGUUGCAGACAGCAAUAUCUACUAAGGUAGAACAGAAGCACACCAUGCUUCAGUCUCGAUUGCAUUUUUUUGGGGGCGGUGAGCUGCUUAACUAAAAUGCUGUUGGCACAUUUGAAACUUUAUCCUGAACAGACACCAUAUAUUGAUGUCUGCGACCAUGAGCAAGCAAAAGUUGCUGGUGUUCCAGCUAUUACUACUGCUGGCAUAUAUUCAGGAGUUAGCAAUGAUCUGGUAAAGGCGGCUUUGAUCCGGUGGCCAACAUGCAGAUGCGAACCUCUCUACCCCAUUCCGGAGACGAGUAUGCGAAAGGCAGACAAGAGCAGUGACCCCAGCGUGUUGCAUUCUGACAUUCUCCUCCACAACAAUUGCAAUCAGAAGAGGAGCAGUGGCUCAGCUUGUAGCUGAAGGGGCAGCGGCCUCACCAGAUCACUAAUCAUGUGCAUUCUAUUCCUUGAAUGCUGCAAACAAGGUUAGUCACUUCCAGUAUUCUCCCAAAUGCCAUUUUUUCAUUAGAAAAUUAUAUCUCACGCAAUAGUUAUAUUAAUGAGUAUUAUCACUUCUGUUUUAUGAACCUGGACAUUGUCAGGCUUGCCAGUUGCAUUGUAAUUCAGUAUGUGCUGGUGUCCUUAGAUAAAUUCACUUAUUUCCUUGAUAAAACACAAUUUACAAUGGCUAGCUUUCGACAAUGGUGACCCACUGAUCUAUUGUGCCCAAACAGAUUUUUUACUCACUGGGUGGCAGAAGUGGUGUGACCAUAUUGUUUCCUUGCUAUAGGAGCUACAUCCCUGGUUAGUGAUCUAAAAUUCUGAUGAACAAAUAGACCCAUGACCAAUGCCACCUGUCUGAUCAUAACCUUUACUAUUACAAGAACUUUUUGUAGCAGUACUAAAGCAAGGAGGCAUUUUUCUACUGGUUAGUGAAAUUAUCUCAGUGUGACAUUUGUAUCUUCUAAUAGUUCAUCUGCUAUUAAAGUUUUGACUUUUUUUCUCCUAAAUAUCUUCUAAAAUAAUGUAACAUCAUUUAUGAAUUUCCUGGAAAAAAUGCGCUGAUGCAUGCACAAUUAAAAUCAAAUUCAAUUCUCUAUGGGGACACAAAUUAUGGAUUUGAUGGAUCUUUAUGGGGCUGUGCAUAUAUUAAUAAAAUGGUCUCAGAACAUAUGAAUGAUAUAAUAUUUAGUCAAAAUAGAAUGCUAAUCAACGUAUGAUCUAUUGCCAUUUUUCUCGUCCUUAGAUCAAUUCACCUAUUUCUUUGAUAAAUCACAAUUUACAAUGGCUAGCUUUCAAUAUUUGCAAAGCAGAGCAGCAGCCUGAACUAAACCUGCCCUUGAUGACAUGCACACAGUCCAUAUCAAGGUAGCCAAAUUUAGAAAGGCCAGUCUCCGAUCUUUGAUAAGGAAUGUUUGAAUUUUAUGCCUGAACAUUGUGCCAACAUUUGCGACAAAAUAGCAGUGGUCGGAGGACUGCUAAGAGGACAUCAAGAGCUACUGCAGGAAGGCUCCGCAGAUGCUGCACUCUCACAAAUGUUGGGAGGAGGUAAGCGCAGUUCAGCUUCAUUUACCUGGUGCCCCAUACCAUCUUGGUGUUUAUGCAAGUGACUUAUUUUUCUCCACACAUUGUAAAUAGAUAAACAAAACAAAGAAAGAAGUUGAGUUAGGUGACACAUUUAUUGUUUCAGAAUUUUGCUAAGAUAGCUUUUUAAUUCUAAAUAUCACUGCAAUAGUCAUCACAUGCUUUAUAUAAUCGUUUUUUCUAUAUGAGUAUUUUAGGAGUUGUUUGGAUAGGUUUUUGAGCUAAAAUUCUCAAAAUCUUCACUCAUUUAAACACUUCAUUAGCAAAGCAACUAUGUUGUUACUAUACAAAUCUUUAGUUAUUUCACUGAAUAUUUGGUGUUAAGAGCAUGGUGAUGUGCCAUGUAUAAUUUACAGGCAAUCAUGUAUACUCUUUAGUCCUUACUAAACCUAUUACUACUAUGCACUGUUAUAUUCAUUGUUGAUCACAGAUGUUCUAGCACUAAUAUCAAGGCAUACUAUUGGUGCACUUGAGCUUGGAGACUAUCUUGUUGGGUUCAUCACCCAAAGUAAAAAUAUUUCCUUUAUUCAUAUGUAGUUCUUUAUUUUCCAAUGUAUGUAAUUUCAACCUUUGGGGUAAUAUUCUCAGUGCCAGACUCGGUUUGCACCUUGCAGUUGUUAAGCCAAGAUGAGACAUCCUCUUGUUAUUGUUUGGUGUUUGGUACUGUAAAGUUCCCAUUUUUAUGGUGAAUGUUUAUUUAUCUUAAAUGCUUUGGAGAUUCCAGGUUUGUUAUCAUUAGCUCAAGUUUUCUACAACUUGCAUAUUCAUGAUUAUAGACGCACUUAAUCUGUUGUCUGCUCAAAUGUCAAGGGCACGACCAAUUUUUAUAAAUGAAGGAAAGUCUACAGCUAGGAUAUGGAUUACUAAACAAUCAUUAUUUCCUCUUUGUAAAUUGUGCUGCUUAAAUUAGAAUAUCAAUUGACUUAUUAUAUAUGUUUAGAUUUAGAAGGGAUUAUCAACAUUAGUGGUCGCUAGAAAUAGUAUAUCAGAGUGGAGAAGCAACUUAUCAGUGUUUGUCACUGAGGUGAGACCUGACUUGCAUAUAUAGAGCUAAUUCAAAUACAACUUUUAGAAAUGCUAUUUAGCUCUUUAAUUUCCUCAUCCCUCUUUCAGCUCUGUUUGCAAAAUUAAAGUGCGAGAAUAGAAAAGUAUCAAUAGAAUUGUUUAAGUUCACUCAUUAGACAUUUCACUGCCACUCCAUAAUAGUGGCCGAUUUGUAGUUAAAUGGUUUAUAUAACCCAAGAAUAUCUUCGAGCGGACCAUAAAUAACUCCAGGAACUAACUGACACGACCUUUAUGUCAACCAUUUUCUGAAAGCAUCGUCAAAGAACUUUUUGGGCCGGAAGCCCUUCGUAGACGUUACUUGUACCCUGUAUUCUGGUGUUCAGUUUGUAUAUUUCAGAUUGUAAGGGUUAUCUAUCAACAUCUGUACUUUUAUACCAUUUAUUGGACAAAGCUUCCUUUGCUUGUGUAAUAAUAUUUCAAUGUUAUAUGUUGUGGAGAAUGAUA
Molecule: RNA transcript, 4055 nt
Organism: Sorghum bicolor (sorghum)
Lineage: Eukaryota; Viridiplantae; Streptophyta; Magnoliopsida; Poales; Poaceae
Exons: 5
Source: RefSeq, a predicted model, not a curated record